UGACAUUUUUCUGUAAUCAACUAUCAAUAAAUGCUAAUCUGGAAUGCCCCCUUUGUCCCGCAGCUCUGCUGAUGUCUGUCUAUCUGCCUAGCAGUGUGGUUCGGUUCCUGCCCAAGAGCAGUGGAGAGCUGAGGGUUAUUUUCCUGUGUGGUGGCAGUACACGGGUAGGUGUCUUUCAGAGGUAAACCAGCUGACGAUCUGGCUUAGAGAGUGAGAGAGGACAAAUCAGUUCUUUGGCAUGUGCAGCCCGGUACCAUUAUUCAGAAGGAAAGACUGCCUCUAGAAGAGGGAGACUUUGGGACGUGGGGUGGGGGCUGAGGCCAUCAGGGUGGGAAGUGGAGGCCAGGUUGGAAAAAUAAGAGUCAAGGACACGUCCAAGAUAGUAUUUCAAGAGGUUGGAAACUGCGCCAGAUAAAAUGCUGCAUGGGAAGCUUGGCUAACGUGAAUUCUUUUCCUUCUCCUUCCCUACUUGUUGGCUUGCUGGUCUUCUCUGCUGACUGGGUACCACAUCCAUUGUGGGGGAUAGACUGUCUCCCACCUGAGCCUCUAGCCCACCAGGCUCCCCCAGGCUUUCUACCAUGAACCCCCGGAAAGCACUCCACUUA
This 605-nucleotide long non-coding RNA is filed under the name Chinchilla lanigera (long-tailed chinchilla). RNAcentral describes it as "lncRNA (ENSCLAG00000024660.1)". The record is from RNAcentral. Lineage: Eukaryota; Metazoa; Chordata; Mammalia; Rodentia; Chinchillidae.